UACGUAGGGUGCAAGCGUUGUCCGGAAUUAUUGGGCGUAAAGAGCUCGUAGGCGGCUCAGUAAGUCAGGUGUGAAACCUCCAGGCUCAACCUGGAGACGCCACCUGAUACUGCUGUGGCUAGAGUCCGGUAGGGGGGCGUGGAAUUCCUGGUGUAGCGGUGAAAUGCGCAGAUAUCAGGAAGAACACCCGUGGCGAAGGCGGCUCUCUGGGACGGUACUGACGCUGAGACGCGAAAGCGUGGGGAGCGAACAGG
This 254-nucleotide ribosomal RNA is filed under the name uncultured bacterium. Its description in RNAcentral is "partial 16S ribosomal RNA". It matches the Rfam family "Bacterial small subunit ribosomal RNA", at positions 524 to 776 of the family's 1533-position model. The record is from RNAcentral.